AAUCACAUGCCGAUUUGCCUUAUGUUUUCCUGCAAACCCUAAUCGCUGUAAUCUCACUGUUUGUUUCGUCGCUACUUGCCUAUUGCGCGGAAAAGGAAUCAUGCUCGCCGGUCGUUGUCAAUGGUGAGGUUCCGCGAUCUAUAGCCGAAGGCGCAAAGGGACUCGGUGUUCGCAAUCCGAGAUGCAAAGGCGACAAUUUCCGAUUUUUCUUAAUGGAAUCAGCCGAUCAAGGUGGGUGAUCAAGGUGAUGUUUUAGCAACGAGAACGAUCUGAAGGUGGCAAAACAUUACUUUUUCUGAAAUCUAUCGCUUUAAGAACGCUUUCUUCUGCUGCCAAUGAAUACAUCCUUACAUUUGUGGACAUAGUACAGGAUCAGCGCAGUCAGAGAAUAAUGCGUGGAAUAGCUGGAGGCUGAAGAGCGUAAGCACUACAAAAACAUAUUCAAAAAGGUCCGGAUCCUUUGCUCCAUUUUUUAUGGAAGAGGGAAUGAUCAACAACUUAAUUAUAAUCAGAUAGUGACCGUAAUCCGGUCAUAAUUGUUUAUGAUCUCUCCUGAGUUCACCUUUCUAUUUAGAUUAUAGUUUAGAUUAGGGUCAAUGGGACAUCUCUAUCGGAUUACGGUCACGAUCUAGUCACAAUUGAGUUGUGGAUCAUUCCUUGAUCUACUUUUAAAAAAUGGACCAGAGGAUUCUUUCUCA
Molecule: long non-coding RNA, 698 nt
Organism: Zingiber officinale
Lineage: Eukaryota; Viridiplantae; Streptophyta; Magnoliopsida; Zingiberales; Zingiberaceae
Exons: 2
Source: RefSeq, a predicted model, not a curated record